Non-coding RNA from Biomphalaria pfeifferi, 309 nucleotides. NCBI's taxonomy places the organism in Eukaryota, Metazoa, Mollusca, Gastropoda, Planorbidae. The record is from the annotation of a GenBank genome assembly.
UUUGAUUUGGUAUAAGGAUGUAAUAAUGUGUCCCUUUUUUUUUUUUUUUUUAAGUCCAUGAAAUAUUUUCUACAUGAUCACAUUGAAAUGUGUUUUGCUUGUAUGACUUUUGAUGGAUGAAGUUUGUGAUUUCACGAUUCAUUUUCAUUAGGCAUUUAUUGAAAAGACAACUUUAUGUUUUUAAUAUUGUUGAUUCACUAUGUGAAAGACUAUCCUUACUAAGCUCUACACGUUUUUGUUUCUUUCUUUCAUUGCUAUUUAGUAUUACACAGUUUUAAUUAAAAACACACAGUUGAUCAGAAACCAGGU